RNAcentral lists this ribosomal RNA (141 nucleotides) under uncultured eukaryote. RNAcentral's name for it is "partial 18S ribosomal RNA". It matches the Rfam family "Eukaryotic small subunit ribosomal RNA", at positions 1299 to 1458 of the family's 1831-position model. The record is from RNAcentral.
UGGUGGAGUGAUUUGUCUGGUUAAUUCCGUUAACGAACGAGACCUCAGCCUACUAAAUAGACAGACGCAGCUCCGGCUGCGGGCUCUGUCUUCUUAGAGGGACUGUCGGUGUUUAGCCGAAGGAAGUUUGAGGCAAUAACA